UACGGAGGGCGCGAGCGUUAAUCGGAAUUACUGGGCGUAAAGCGCGCGUAGGCUGUUGUGUAAGUUGGGGGUGAAAUCCCACGGCUCAACCGUGGAACAGCCCUUGAUACUGCGCGACUUGAAUCCGGGAGAGGGUGGCGGAACUCCAGGUGUAGGAAUGAAAUCCGUAGAUAUCUGGAGGAACAUCAGUGGCGAAGGCGGCCACCUGGACCGGUAUUGACGCUGAGGCGCGAAAGCGUGGGGAGCAAACAGG
Molecule: ribosomal RNA, 253 nt
Filed under: uncultured bacterium
Lineage: Bacteria
Description: partial 16S ribosomal RNA
Rfam family: Bacterial small subunit ribosomal RNA
Source: RNAcentral